This 393-nucleotide ribosomal RNA is filed under the name uncultured soil bacterium. RNAcentral describes it as "bacterial SSU rRNA". It matches the Rfam family "Bacterial small subunit ribosomal RNA", at positions 26 to 411 of the family's 1533-position model. The record is from RNAcentral.
AGAUUGAACGCUGGCGGCAGGCCUAACACAUGCAAGUCGAGCGGUAGAGAGGUGCUUGCACCUCUUGAGAGCGGCGGACGGGUGAGUAAUGCCUAGGAAUCUGCCUAGUGGUGGGGGAUAACGUUCGGAAACGGACGCUAAUACCGCAUACGUCCUACGGGAGAAAGCGGGGGACCUUCGGGCCUCGCGCCAUUAGAUGAGCCUAGGUCGGAUUAGCUAGUUGGUGAGGUAUGGCUCACCAAGGCGACGAUCCGUAAUGGUCUGAGAGGAUGAUCAGUCACACUGGAACUGAGACACGGUCCAGACCUCCGUACGGGAGGCAGCAGGUAGGGUAAUAGUGGACAAGUGGGACGAAACGUCCUAGGACUCCGAGCCAGUCGGCCCGUGGUAGGU